GAUGAACGCUAGCGGGAGGCCUAACACAUGCAAGCCGAGCGGUAGAGAUCUUUCGGGAUCUUGAGAGCGGCGUACGGGUGCGGAACACGUGUGCAACCUGCCUUUAUCAGGGGGAUAGCCUUUCGAAAGGAAGAUUAAUACCCCAUAAUAUUUAGAAUGGCAUCAUUUUAAAUUGAAAACUCCGGUGGAUAGAGAUGGGCACGCGCAAGAUUAGAUAGUUGGUAGGGUAACGGCCUACCAAGUCUGCGAUCUUUAGGGGGCCUGAGAGGGUGAUCCCCCACACUGGUACUGAGACACGGACCAGACUCCUACGGGAGGCAGCAGUGAGGAAUAUUGGGCAAUGGGUGCGAGCCUGAUCCAGCCAUCCCGCGUGAAGGAUGACGGCCCUAUGGGUUGUAAACUUCUUUUGUAUAGGGAUAAACCUAGAUACGUGUAUCUAGCUGAAGGUACUAUACGAAUAAGCACCGGCUAACUCCGUGCCAGCAGCAGCCGCAG
RNAcentral lists this ribosomal RNA (495 nucleotides) under uncultured bacterium. Its description in RNAcentral is "partial 16S ribosomal RNA". It matches the Rfam family "Bacterial small subunit ribosomal RNA", at positions 28 to 523 of the family's 1533-position model. The record is from RNAcentral.